RNAcentral lists this ribosomal RNA (838 nucleotides) under Enterobacter sp. RNAcentral describes it as "bacterial SSU rRNA". It matches the Rfam family "Bacterial small subunit ribosomal RNA", at positions 43 to 873 of the family's 1533-position model. Lineage: Bacteria; Pseudomonadati; Pseudomonadota; Gammaproteobacteria; Enterobacterales; Enterobacteriaceae. The record is from RNAcentral.
CAGGCCUAACACAUGCAAGUCGAACGGUAGCACAGAGAGCUUGCUCUCGGGUGACGAGUGGCGGACGGGUGAGUAAUGUCUGGGAAACUGCCUGAUGGAGGGGGAUAACUACUGGAAACGGUAGCUAAUACCGCAUAACGUCGCAAGACCAAAGAGGGGGACCUUCGGGCCUCUUGCCAUCAGAUGUGCCCAGAUGGGAUUAGCUAGUAGGUGGGGUAACGGCUCACCUAGGCGACGAUCCCUAGCUGGUCUGAGAGGAUGACCAGCCACACUGGAACUGAGACACGGUCCAGACUCCUACGGGAGGCAGCAGUGGGGAAUAUUGCACAAUGGGCGCAAGCCUGAUGCAGCCAUGCCGCGUGUAUGAAGAAGGCCUUCGGGUUGUAAAGUACUUUCAGCGGGGAGGAAGGGAGUAAGGUUAAUAACCUUGUUCAUUGACGUUACCCGCAGAAGAAGCACCGGCUAACUCCGUGCCAGCAGCCGCGGUAAUACGGAGGGUGCGAGCGUUAAUCGGAAUUACUGGGCGUAAAGCGCACGCAGGCGGUCUGUCAAGUCGGAUGUGAAAUCCCCGGGCUCAACCUGGGAACUGCAUCCGAAACUGGCAGGCUUGAGUCUCGUAGAGGGAGGUAGAAUUCCAGGUGUAGCGGUGAAAUGCGUAGAGAUCUGGAGGAAUACCGGUGGCGAAGGCGGCCUCCUGGACGAAGACUGACGCUCAGGUGCGAAAGCGUGGGGAGCAAACAGGAUUAGAUACCCUGGUAGUCCACGCCGUAAACGAUGUCUAUUUGGAGGUUGUGCCCUGAGGCGUGGCUUCCGGAGCUAACGCGUAAAUAGACCCGCC